GAACCGAAUUCUGCUCAGCCCUAGGCUGGCUCAUGGAACUUUGACAGAAUGUAUUAGAAAGGUAACAGUAGCUCUGUAAAAAGGCUUGGAGCACAAUAAGCUGAAAAGAAUAUCCACCAACCAAGUUAAGUUCAUCAAGGGAUCUCAAGAUAUAUUUUUUUUCAACUCUAGUUGCUCGAAAAACCUUUAGAGACCUUACUGCCACAGUUAACCUGAAAUCUAUUAAUUAUACAAGGAAUCAGUGUGUGGCACCCAUUUAGAAUAAGCUAAAGGAGGGUCUGUUAAGAUGAUAGGGUUGCAGCCAAACUAGACAUGCAGAUGAACAGCUGCUGCUGCUGUUAAAACUAUAUCUUAGACAUGACAUUGAUGUACAAAGCCUUAAGGCUGAUAUAUUUCUUUAGUCUCAGGUAAUGUGCAUCCAUAAAGUGCCGAAGUUGUGGGCACCUUUGGGUUUGAGAUGAUUUUUAACAUAUUUCUGGUUUGAUUGUUUGUGAGUUUAACUCUCAUAAAAGGAAUGGAGGGGAGGUUCGAUUGGAUGGAGUUUUGGUGUCAAGUAUUCAGGUUCUAUUAUCUAGAAGAACAUAAUUAUAAUUGAGGAUGUAACUUGUAGGAUCAAAAUAGGAUGGAUGAAAUGGAGGAGUAUGACGGAUAUGCUAUGCGAUCGUAGAAUCCCUAACAAAAUGAAAGGUAAGUUUUAUAGAACUGUGGUUAGGCUAACUACGUUAUAUGGGAGUAAAUGCCUGAGCAUCUAAGGUACAACGUAUCUACAAGAUGCGUGCAGCAAAAAUGUGUAUGUUAAUAUGGAUGUCUAGUAACACAAUAAUGGAUAAAAUUAACAAUGAUCGCAUUCGUUAGAGAGUACAUUGAGCAAUUAAGGUGGUAUGGUCAUCUUCUAUAUAAAACAUCAAAUGCUCGAAGUAUGAUAAAUUAGUGAUAGAAUGAGUGAAAAAAGAAAGAGGAAGAUCUAAGAUAACAUGAAGGAAAUUAAUAUCAAAAGAUUUAUAAUUUUUAGAUAUUGAUAUAGAAUUUAUUUUAAACAAAACUAAAUAGCGAAAAAUGAUUUAUAUAGUCGAUCUUAAUCCUACCUAAUUUGAAAUUAAGAUUUAAUUAUUAUACUAAGCUUCCCAUGUAGUAUAGUUUUCAGUAUAUUCCUAUUCACUUCGGACAACACAGAGAAAUAUUUGUGUAUGGAUUUUAAUACAAUACAUUCAAGCAAAUGAAUUAAAUAAUAAGUGAUAUUCCCCUGCCAAACUGGCCCCAAUUCAUCAAGCUGGUCGACCGUCCCAAGUUUUUUAUCCCUUUCUUUUUAGAUGGUAUUCCUAAUCCAAGUGGACUGAGCUUUUAUUUUGAUUUUUAAUUUUUUCUGGACUAAGCUUUAUUAAAGGCCAUAUUGAUAUGCUCUUAAAUACAUGCUACCUACUGGCUUAAAAUAUUGUCCCACCAAGUUUAAUAAACACAACCAAGCAAUUUCCUCGCCAUUAAUCACAUGCAUGCC
RNAcentral lists this unclassified non-coding RNA (1495 nucleotides) under Hevea brasiliensis (rubber tree). The record is from RNAcentral. Lineage: Eukaryota; Viridiplantae; Streptophyta; Magnoliopsida; Malpighiales; Euphorbiaceae.